AACGGGUGAGUAACACGUGGGUAACCUGCCCAUCAGAAGGGGAUAACACUUGGAAACAGGUGCUAAUACCGUAUAACAAUCGAAACCGCAUGGUUUUGAUUUGAAAGGCGCUUUCGGGUGUCGCUGAUGGAUGGACCCGCGGUGCAUUAGCUAGUUGGUGAGGUAACGGCUCACCAAGGCCACGAUGCAUAGCCGACCUGAGAGGGUGAUCGGCCACAUUGGGACUGAGACACGGCCCAAACUCCUACGGGAGGCAGCAGUAGGGAAUCUUCGGCAAUGGACGAAAGUCUGACCGAGCAACGCCGCGUGAGUGAAGAAGGUUUUCGGAUCGUAAAACUCUGUUGUUAGAGAAGAACAAGGAUGAGAGUAACUGUUCAUCCCUUGACGGUAUCUAACCAGAAAGCCACGGCUAACUACGUGCCAGCAGCCGCGGUAAUACGUAGGUGGCAAGCGUUGUCCGGAUUUAUUGGGCGUAAAGCGAGCGCAGGCGGUUUCUUAAGUCUGAUGUGAAAGCCCCCGGCUCAACCGGGGAGGGUCAUUGGAAACUGGGAGACUUGAGUGCAGAAGAGGAGAGUGGAAUUCCAUGUGUAGCGGUGAAAUGCGUAGAUAUAUGGAGGAACACCAGUGGCGAAGGCGGCUCUCUGGUCUGUAACUGACGCUGAGGCUCGAAAGCGUGGGGAGCAAACAGGAUUAGAUACCCUGGUAGUCCACGCCGUAAACGAUGAGUGCUAAGUGUUGGAGGGUUUCCGCCCUUCAGUGCUGCAGCUAACGCAUUAAGCACUCCGCCUGGGGAGUACGACCGCAAGGUUGAAACUCAAAGGAAUUGACGGGGGCCCGCACAAGCGGUGGAGCAUGUGGUUUAAUUCGAAGCAACGCGAAGAACCUUACCAGGUCUUGACAUCCUUUGACCACUCUAGAGAUAGAGCUUCCCCUUCGGGGGCAAAGUGACAGGUGGUGCAUGGUUGUCGUCAGCUCGUGUCGUGAGAUGUUGGGUUAAGUCCCGCAA
Molecule: ribosomal RNA, 1006 nt
Filed under: Enterococcus faecium
Lineage: Bacteria; Bacillati; Bacillota; Bacilli; Lactobacillales; Enterococcaceae
Description: bacterial SSU rRNA
Rfam family: Bacterial small subunit ribosomal RNA
Source: RNAcentral